GCUAAGUUAGUUUAUUUAAAAAUACCAGCCUGUGGAUUUGGAGAAGAAAAGUGUAUGUUUCACUUAGCC
This 69-nucleotide transfer RNA is filed under the name Aliger gigas (queen conch). Its description in RNAcentral is "Strombus gigas tRNA-His". Lineage: Eukaryota; Metazoa; Mollusca; Gastropoda; Littorinimorpha; Strombidae. The record is from RNAcentral.